This 486-nucleotide ribosomal RNA is filed under the name uncultured bacterium. RNAcentral's name for it is "partial 16S ribosomal RNA". It matches the Rfam family "Bacterial small subunit ribosomal RNA", at positions 28 to 507 of the family's 1533-position model. The record is from RNAcentral.
GAUGAACGCUGGCGGCGUGCCUAAUACAUGCAAGUCGAACGCUGGAAAUCUAGCUUGCUCGAUUGAAGGAGUGGCGAACGGGUGAGUAAUACAUAAGCAACCUACCCACGAAGACUGGGAUAAUCUCUGGAAACGGGGACUAAUACCGGAUAGGUAAUCGGAAGGCAUCUUCUGAUUAUUAAAGGUUAAAAACACUGGUUGAUGGGCUUAUUGCGCAUUAGUUAGUUGGUGAGGUAACGGCCCACCAGGACGAUGAUGCGUAGCCGUCCUGAGAGGGUGAACGGCGACAUUGGGACUGAGACACGGCCCAGACUCCUACGGGAGGCAGCAGUAGGGAAUUUUCGGCAAUGGGGGAAACCCUGACCGAGCAACGCCGCGUGAGUGAUGACGGCCUUCGGGGUGUAAAGCUCUGUUGUAAGGGAAGAACGGUAGAUAGAGAAUAUCUAAAUGACGGUACCUUACCAGAAAGCAACGGCUAACUACGUG